GUACUGUGCAAACGUUAUUCGGAAUCACUGGGCUUAAAGGGUGCGUAGGCGGCUAUUCAAGUCGGAUGUGAAAUCUCUCGGCCUAACCGAGGAAUUGCGUUCGAAACUGAAUGGCUUGAGUGAGAUAGGGGUGUGCGGAACUUCCAGUGGAGCGGUGAAAUGUGUUGAUAUUGGAAGGAACGCCGGUGGCGAAGGCGGCACACUGGGUCUCAACUGACGCUGAGGCACGAAAGCCAGGGUAGCGAACGGGAUUAGAUACCCCGGUAGUCCUGGCUGUAAACGAUGAGUACUAGACGGGAGGAAUUUCGGUUUCUCCGGUCGCAGCGAAAGCAAUAAGUACUCCGCCUGGGGAGUAUGGUCGCAAAGGCUG
RNAcentral lists this ribosomal RNA (370 nucleotides) under uncultured organism. RNAcentral describes it as "partial 16S ribosomal RNA". It matches the Rfam family "Bacterial small subunit ribosomal RNA", at positions 527 to 896 of the family's 1533-position model. The record is from RNAcentral.